RNAcentral lists this long non-coding RNA (961 nucleotides) under Linum usitatissimum (flax). Its description in RNAcentral is "long non-coding RNA (LUSI_LNC002149)". Lineage: Eukaryota; Viridiplantae; Streptophyta; Magnoliopsida; Malpighiales; Linaceae. The record is from RNAcentral.
GUCAAGAUAACUGCAGAUGUUCUAACAUUUCCAGGAGCUUUACUGUUGACACUAUGCGCUUACAAGGUGCAUAGUAGUAACGAUGAAGAGAUCGAGUCCGAAAAUGGCGGCCUAUAUGCUCCUUUGAAUGGUGAUUCCAACGGCAUUAACGACGAGAAACAUGAGAAAGCAAUUCCAUUUUCAAAAGUAGGGGUCUUGGGAACUCUGUCAUUUUGGUGGCUGAAUCCUCUGAUGAAAUUAGGCAGGGAAAAGACUCUUGAAGAAGAGGAUAUUCCGAACCUACGCCAGGCGGAUCGAGCCGAAACUUGCUACACGGUUUUCCAGGAGCAGUUAAGCAAGGAAGAGAAACAAUCUCAGCCUUCGCUUUUGUGGACGAUUGCGAGGUGCCAUUCCAGAGACAUUUUCGUCUCCGGGUUCUUUGCUUUCUUGAAGAUAGUUACAGCAUCAGCAGGUCCACUGCUUCUUAACGCCUUUAUACUGGUUGCUGAAGGAAACGCUAGUUUCCAAUAUGAAGGCUAUCUACUGGCGUUGACCCUUUUCUUCAGCAAGUCCCUGGAGUCCUUAUCUCAAAGGCAAUGGUACUUCAGGUCUAGACUCAUUGGUUUAAAGAUAAGGUCUUUACUCACAGCUGCAAUCUACAAGAAGCAACUGAAGCUGUCGAAUGCCAGUAGAUUAACGCACUCGGGAGGCGAGAUAAUGAACUAUGUCACAGUAGAUGCUUACAGAAUUGGCGAAUUCCCCUUUUGGUUUCACCAGACAUGGACGACAAGCUUGCAGCUUUGCCUUUCCCUCAUCAUUCUGUUCCGAGCUGUUGGGUUGGCAACUUUUGCAGCCUUGGCGAUCAUAGUGCUGACUGUUUUGUGCAAUGCUCCAUUGGCUAAGCUGCAGCAUAGGUUCCAAACCAGGCUCAUGACGGCUCAGGAUGAAAGGCUCAAGGCCUGUGGGGAGUCUCUGGUGAACA